This 851-nucleotide ribosomal RNA is filed under the name uncultured bacterium. Its description in RNAcentral is "bacterial SSU rRNA". It matches the Rfam family "Bacterial small subunit ribosomal RNA", at positions 8 to 878 of the family's 1533-position model. The record is from RNAcentral.
AGAGUUUGAUCCUGGCUCAGGACGAACGCUGGCGGCGUGCAUAAAACAUGCAAGUCGAACGGAUCUCAGCCGCAAGGCUGAGGUUAGUGGCGAACGGCUGAGUAACACGUAGGUGACCUGCCCCGAAGUGGGGGACAACUCUCCGAAAGGAGAGCUAAUACCGCAUGUGAUCGGUGGUUCAUUCCGUCGAUCAAAGUCGUAAGACGCUUUGGGAGGGGCCUGCGGCGGAUCAGCUAGUUGGUGGGGUAAUGGCUCACCAAGGCAACGAUCCGUAGCUGGUCUGAGAGGAUGGCCAGCCAGACUGGGACUGAGACACGGCCCAGACUCCUACGGGAGGCAGCAGUUAGGGAUCUUGUGCAAUGGGGGAAACCCUGACACAGCAACGCCGCGUGAGGGAUGAAGGCCUUCGGGUCGUAAACCUCUUUUCUGAGGGAAGAAACCUGACGGUACCUCAGGAAUAAGCAACGGCUAACUACGUGCCAGCAGCCGCGGUAAUACGUAGGUUGCGAGCGUUGUCCGGAUUUACUGGGCGUAAAGCGCACGCAGGCGGCUCCGAAAGCCCACGGUGAAAGCCCUCGGCCCAACCGAGGGAGGCCCGUGGGAACUUCGGGGCUUGAAGGCGGGAGAGGCAGAUGGAAUUUCCGGUGUAGCGGUAAAAUGCGUAGAUACCGGAAGGAACACCAGUGGCGAAAGCGAUCUGCUGGCCCGCUCUUGACGCUCAGGUGCGAAAGCUAGGGUAGCGACCGGGAUUAGAUACCCCGUUAGUCCUAGCCGUAAACGAUGGGCACUAGGUGUUGUCGGUAUCGACCCCGGCAGUGCCGUAGCUAACGCAUUAAGUGCCCCGCCUGGGA